CUUGUCGGGUAAGUUCCGACCUGCACGAAUGGUGUAACGAUCUGGGCGCUGUCUCAACGCGGGACUCGGUGAAAUUGAAGUAUCGGUGAAGAUGCCGAUUAUCCAUGGCUAGACGGAAAGACCCCGUGAACCUUUACUGUAGCCUGGCAUAGGCACUUGGCCUGUGAUGUGUAGGAUAGGUGGGAGGCUGCGAACUCUGGUCGUUAGGCUGGAGGGAGCCGUUGGUGAAAUACCACCCUUUACAGGUUAGGUUUCUAACGCUCGCCGUGAAGCCGGCGAGUGGACAGUGUCAGGUGGGCGGUUUGACUGGGGCGGUCGCCUCCUAAAGAGUAACGGAGGCGCGCAAAGGUCACCUCGCGCUGGUUGGAAAUCAGCGUACGAGUGCAAAGGCAAAAGGUGGCUUGACUGCGAGACCUACAAGUCGAGCAGGUGCGAAAGCAGGUCUUAGUGAUCUGGUGGUUGCGAGUGGAAGCGCCAUCACUAAACGGACAAAAGGUACUCCGGGGAUAACAGGCUAAUAGUGCCCAAGCGUCCAUAGCGACGGCACUGUUUGGCACCUCGAUGUCGGCUCAUCGCAUCCUGGGGCUGGAGCAGGUCCCAAGGGUUUGGCUGUUCGCCAAUUAAAGCGGUACGUGAGCUGGGUUCAGAACGUCGUGAGACAGUUCGGUCCCUAUCUGCCAUGGGCGUUGGUUGCUUGAGAGGAGCUGCUUCUAGUACGAGAGGACCGAAGUGGACGAACCGCUGGUGUACCAGUUAUGCCGCCAGGUGUAACCGCUGGGUAGCCAUGUUCGGAAGGGAUAACCGCUGAAAGCAUCUAAGUGGGAAGCCCCCCUCAAGAUUAGGCAACCCUGGCCCGUCAAGGGCCCUGAAGGUACCAGAGAGACUAUCUGGUUGAUAGGCUGGAGGUGGAAGCGCAGUAAUGCGUUGAGCCGACCAGUACUAAUUUACCGUGAGGCUUGACCAU
This 964-nucleotide ribosomal RNA is filed under the name Spirochaetaceae bacterium. Its description in RNAcentral is "partial 23S ribosomal RNA". It matches the Rfam family "Bacterial large subunit ribosomal RNA", at positions 1968 to 2925 of the family's 2925-position model. Lineage: Bacteria; Pseudomonadati; Spirochaetota; Spirochaetia; Spirochaetales; Spirochaetaceae. The record is from RNAcentral.